UAGGGAAUCUUCCGCAAUGGGCGAAAGCCUGCCGGAGCAACGCCGCGUGAGUGAUGAAGGUCUUCGGAUCGUAAAACUCUGUUAUUAGGGAAGAACAAAUGUGUAAGUAACUAUGCACGUCUUGACGGUACCUAAUCAGAAAGCCACGGCUAACUACGUGCCAGCAGCCGCGGUAAUACGUAGGUGGCAAGCGUUAUCCGGAAUUAUUGGGCGUAAAGCGCGCGUAGGCGGUUUUUUAAGUCUGAUGUGAAAGCCCACGGCUCAACCGUGGAGGGUCAUUGGAAACUGGGAAACUUGAGUGCAGAAGAGGAAAGUGGAAUUCCAUGUGUAGCGGUGAAAUGCGCAGAGAUAUGGAGGAACACCAGUGGCGAAGGCGACUUUCUGGUCUGUAACUGACGCUGAUGUGCGAAAGCGUGGGGAUCAAACAGG
RNAcentral lists this ribosomal RNA (429 nucleotides) under Actinomycetes bacterium. RNAcentral describes it as "Actinobacteria bacterium partial 16S ribosomal RNA". It matches the Rfam family "Bacterial small subunit ribosomal RNA", at positions 355 to 776 of the family's 1533-position model. Lineage: Bacteria; Bacillati; Actinomycetota; Actinomycetes. The record is from RNAcentral.